UGCCAGCAGCCGCGGUAAUACAGAGGGUGCGAGCGUUAAUCGGAAUUACUGGGCGUAAAGGGUGCGUAGGCGGCUAUAUAAGUUAGGUGUGAAAUCCCUGGGCUCAACCUGGGAAUGGCGCUUAAAACUGUUUAGCUAGAGUAUUGUAGAGGUAAGUGGAAUUUCCGGUGUAGCGGUGAAAUGCGUAGAUAUCGGAAGGAACACCAGUGGCGAAGGCGACUUACUGGACAACUACUGACGCUGAGGCACGAAAGCGUGGGGAGCGAACAGGAUUAGAUA
This 279-nucleotide ribosomal RNA is filed under the name uncultured bacterium. Its description in RNAcentral is "partial 16S ribosomal RNA". It matches the Rfam family "Bacterial small subunit ribosomal RNA", at positions 506 to 784 of the family's 1533-position model. The record is from RNAcentral.